GACGAAACGCUGGCGGCGUGCCUAACACAUGCAAGUCGAGCGGAGAUGAUGUGAGGAAGUUUUCGGAUGGAAUCACAUUAUUUUAGCGGCGGACGGGUGAGUAACGCGUGAGCGACCAACCUUGCACAGGGGGGAUAACGGACCGAAAGGUUCACUAAUACCGCAUGAGACCACGGUGUUGCAUGACACAGAGGUCAAAGGGGAAUCCGGUGCAAGACGGGCUCGCGUCCGAUUAGGUAGUUGGAGGGGUAACGGCCCACCAAGCCUAUGAUCGGUAGCCGACCUGAGAGGGUGAUCGGCCACACUGGAACUGAGACACGGUCCAGACUCCUACGGGAGGCAGCAGUGGGGAAUAUUGCACAAUGGAGGGAACUCUGAUGCAGCGACGCCGCGUGAGUGAAGAAGGUCUUCGGAUCGUAAAACUCUAGUCCUUGGUGAAGAAAAGGACGGUAGCCAAGGAGGAAGCCCCGGCUAACUACGUGCCAGCAGCCGCGGUAAGCU
Molecule: ribosomal RNA, 501 nt
Filed under: uncultured bacterium
Lineage: Bacteria
Description: bacterial SSU rRNA
Rfam family: Bacterial small subunit ribosomal RNA
Source: RNAcentral